RNAcentral lists this long non-coding RNA (332 nucleotides) under Accipiter nisus (Eurasian sparrowhawk). RNAcentral's name for it is "lncRNA (ENSANIG00000001380.1)". The record is from RNAcentral. Lineage: Eukaryota; Metazoa; Chordata; Aves; Accipitriformes; Accipitridae.
AUUUGCUGAAGGAGUUGGAAGGCCAGGUGAAAACAUUUUCCAGACCUGCUGAGAGCUUAUCUUAAACCAUGACCAAGGUCAUUCCAAAAUGAAUCCCCUCUCAUCAUCCCUUUUCCUGGAAUUGCAAGAACUAGAAAAUUUGUGAGUUCAAGUUGGAAAGAGAAGAGACUGGGAAGAAACAAAACGGACAGCUUCACCUCUUGAGCUACAACUCAGCUCCCUGCCUCCUGCACAUGCAAACAUUUGAAUUUCCUCUUGGCUCAGAGCAUAAACAAUCACCUGAAUAUACUGGAAAAAAAAUAUAUAUACAGAUGUCAAAACCCAGCCAGUAA